CAUGAAGGAAAAAUUAAAACAUUUACCGGAUAAGGUAGAAAAAUUAAUCAUUAAUAUACAAACCAACUGAGAGAUUAGGGGAGGUCAACGCUGAAAUUUGGAGAAGCGCGAAAGAAAUUGGAUGAGCCAAAGAAUACAGCUAAAUAUGGUUUGGUUACGGAGUGAUGGCAGGAAUACACGUGUCGUAAUAUGAGGGCGUCUGUCAUAAUUCAUACGGUGACAAAACAGUGAUGAUACCAUAAUUUCGUCUGCCCACAAACACAAACGUAAAAAUAAGGGCGAGGGUUCGGAGGAUGAUAAAAGCAGUGGUAGUAGCACUCGGAGUAAACAAUAGAGGAAGCAGGUUUAUGCUGAGGUGCGGUCGUCGUCCCGGAGAGUCUGGUACAUGAAAAGUUUAGACUGCCAAACACGCCCUUAAAUUUCAUUC
RNAcentral lists this long non-coding RNA (427 nucleotides) under Carica papaya (papaya). RNAcentral's name for it is "long non-coding RNA (CPAP_LNC013445)". The record is from RNAcentral. Lineage: Eukaryota; Viridiplantae; Streptophyta; Magnoliopsida; Brassicales; Caricaceae.